UGUACACCAGAUAUACUCAGGACAUAUUGAUACAUGAAUUACCAUUUCUACCACAUGGGAAAGUUUCAACAUCCUACGUUGAAAAUGGACUGGACGAUCCUGAUAAUAAUAAUAGUUUUAUGCAUAAUUGACGUAUGUCAGAUCACUCAAGGCAUGCAGAAACAUGAAUUCACAUUUCUACCACUUAAGAAAGUAUCAACAUCCUAUGCUGAAAAUGGACUAGAAGAUACUGCUAAUAAUAUUGGGUUUAUGUAAUGUGCGUGUAAGGGUUAUUGAAUAUAAUUGAUAGUAAAUUAAUGGCAGUGAAACAAUUGAGAUUCGUUAAUAAUCUGAAUAAAAUUUUAGUUAACACCUUUGACUUGUAAUUUUCAUUCAUAAGAGUUACCAUUAUUAACUUGUAUACAUUUCAUUUGAGCUGA
Molecule: long non-coding RNA, 419 nt
Organism: Rhopalosiphum padi (bird cherry-oat aphid)
Lineage: Eukaryota; Metazoa; Arthropoda; Insecta; Hemiptera; Aphididae
Exons: 2
Source: RefSeq, a predicted model, not a curated record